AGCGUAGGUGGCCUAACAUGUCAACCUGUGAAAACCCCGGAGCUCAACUCCGGACUUGCAGUUGAAACUGGUAGGCUUGAGGACGGUAGAGGAAGACGGAACUGCCAGUGUAGGGGUAAAAUCCUUAGAUAUUGGCAGGAACGCCGGUGACGAAGGUGGUUUUCUGGGCCGGUUCUGACACUGAUGCUCGAAAGCCAGGGGAGCGAACG
RNAcentral lists this ribosomal RNA (209 nucleotides) under uncultured Mesotoga sp. Its description in RNAcentral is "partial 16S ribosomal RNA". It matches the Rfam family "Bacterial small subunit ribosomal RNA", at positions 568 to 774 of the family's 1533-position model. Lineage: Bacteria; Thermotogati; Thermotogota; Thermotogae; Kosmotogales; Kosmotogaceae. The record is from RNAcentral.